This 75-nucleotide transfer RNA is filed under the name Merluccius polli (Benguela hake). It matches the Rfam family "tRNA". From Rfam's summary of the family: Transfer RNA (tRNA) molecules are approximately 80 nucleotides in length. Lineage: Eukaryota; Metazoa; Chordata; Actinopteri; Gadiformes; Merlucciidae. The record is from Rfam by way of RNAcentral.
GGCCGGUUAGCUCAGUUGGUUAGAGCGUGGUGCUAAUAACGCCAAGGUCACGGGUUCAAACCCCCGUACGGGCCA